Molecule: long non-coding RNA, 266 nt
Filed under: Hordeum vulgare
Lineage: Eukaryota; Viridiplantae; Streptophyta; Magnoliopsida; Poales; Poaceae
Description: long non-coding RNA (HVUL_LNC008642)
Source: RNAcentral
CAGAGGAGGAUGUGUGGUUUGGUACCUUUGAACCUUUUUCCAUGAAGCAAUAGGUUGGAGCAAAGUCAUCAACAUAUUCAUCAGUGUAGUUGACGUUGUCAUUUUCUUCAAGGUUGAAGAUUGACUUGCUGACGAAUGUGGUAGCAAGUGCAAGACUUGCCACACCAAACUCUGACUCCACUUGAGAACCUUCCUCUUCAUCACAUUCCUCAGAUUCUUCUUCAGAAUCCAUUUCUUUGCCAAUGAGUGCCCGAGCCUUUCUGAAG